This 253-nucleotide ribosomal RNA is filed under the name uncultured prokaryote. RNAcentral describes it as "partial 16S ribosomal RNA". It matches the Rfam family "Bacterial small subunit ribosomal RNA", at positions 524 to 776 of the family's 1533-position model. The record is from RNAcentral.
UACGAAGGUAGCAAGCGUUGUUCGGAUUUACUGGGCGUACAGGGAGCGUAGGCGGUUCGGUAAGCCCUCUGUGAAAUCUCCAGGCUUAACUGGGAGGGUGCAGCGGAAACUAGAGUGCUAGAGGGUGGGAUAGGUAAGCGGAAUUCCUGGUGUAGCGGUGAAAUGCGUAGAUAUCAGGAGGAACACCUGUGGUGUAGACAGCUUACUGGACCACUUCUGACGCUGAGGCACGAAAGCGUGGGUAGCAAACAGG